UGGCGACCAUAGCAAGAGUGAACCACCUGAUCCCUUCCCGAACUCAGAAGUGAAACCUCUUAGCGCUGAUGGUAGUGUGGGGUUUCCCAUGUGAGAGUAAGUCAUCGCCAG
Molecule: ribosomal RNA, 111 nt
Filed under: Acinetobacter calcoaceticus
Lineage: Bacteria; Pseudomonadati; Pseudomonadota; Gammaproteobacteria; Moraxellales; Moraxellaceae
Also listed under: 3 other names
Source: RNAcentral